Molecule: ribosomal RNA, 399 nt
Filed under: uncultured bacterium
Lineage: Bacteria
Description: partial 16S ribosomal RNA
Rfam family: Bacterial small subunit ribosomal RNA
Source: RNAcentral
AAUAUUGCACAAUGGAGGGAACUGUGAUGCAGCGACGCCGCGUGAGUGAAGAAGGUAUUCGAAACGUAACACACUGUCCUUAGAGAAAAAAAAAAUCACGGUAGCCAAGGAGGAAGCCCCGGAUACCUCCAUGCCAGAAGCCGCGGUAAUACGUAGGGGGCGAGCGUUGUCCGGAUUUACUGGGGUUAAAGGGUGAGUAGGCGGUUGUAUAUGUCAGGGGUAAAAGGCUAUGGCUUAACCAUAGUUAGCACUUGAAACUGUACAACUUGAGUGCAGGAGAGGUGAGUGGAAUUCCUAGUGUAGCGGUGAAAUGCGUAGAUAUUAGGAGGAACACCAGUGGCGAAGGCGACUUACUGGACUGUAACUGACGCUGAGUCACGAAAGCGUGGGUAGCAAACA